RNAcentral lists this ribosomal RNA (164 nucleotides) under Phagnalon abyssinicum. RNAcentral describes it as "5.8S ribosomal RNA". It matches the Rfam family "5.8S ribosomal RNA". Rfam says of the family: 5.8S ribosomal RNA (5.8S rRNA) is a component of the large subunit of the eukaryotic ribosome. It is transcribed by RNA polymerase I as part of the 45S precursor that also contains 18S and 28S rRNA. The record is from RNAcentral. Lineage: Eukaryota; Viridiplantae; Streptophyta; Magnoliopsida; Asterales; Asteraceae. RNAcentral also lists the same sequence under 1 other name.
CAAAAGACUCUCGGCAACGGAUAUCUCGGCUCACGCAUCGAUGAAGAACGUAGCAAAAUGCGAUACUUGGUGUGAAUUGCAGAAUCCCGUGAACCAUCGAGUUUUUGAACGCAAGUUGCGCCCAAAGCCAUUUGGUUGAGGGCACGUCUGCAUGGGCGUCACGC